RNAcentral lists this ribosomal RNA (404 nucleotides) under uncultured bacterium. RNAcentral's name for it is "bacterial SSU rRNA". It matches the Rfam family "Bacterial small subunit ribosomal RNA", at positions 355 to 776 of the family's 1533-position model. RNAcentral also lists the same sequence under 2 other names. The record is from RNAcentral.
UUAGGAAUCUUGGACAAUGGGCGCAAGCCUGAUCCAGCCAUGCCGCGUGAGUGAUGAAGGCCUUAGGGUUGUAAAGCUCUUUCAGCGGGGAAGAUAAUGACGGUACCCGCAGAAGAAGCCCCGGCUAACUUCGUGCCAGCAGCCGCGGUAAUACGAAGGGGGCUAGCGUUGCUCGGAAUCACUGGGCGUAAAGCGCACGUAGGCGGCUUUCUAAGUCAGGGGUGAAAUCCUGGAGCUCAACUCCAGAACUGCCUUUGAUACUGGAGAGCUUGAGUCCGGAAGAGGUGAGUGGAACUCCGAGUGUAGAGGUGAAAUUCGUAGAUAUUCGGAAGAACACCAGUGGCGAAGGCGGCUCACUGGUCCGGUACUGACGCUGAGGUGCGAAAGCGUGGGGAGCAAACAGG